GUGGGGGAGGAGAGAGAGAUAUAUAUAGUGGGACCGUGGUCGGACAGAGUGAUUCUUGAAUCGAAUCCAAUUAGUUAAUCUUAAUUUGGAUUCUAAAGCCCCCAAAUUAAUUAGAUUAAUAAGAUUUUAGAGUCGUAUUAUAUAUUUAAUUGGAAAUUAACUUUCGCACGUGCUCAUCUUAUUUGUGUCCCCAAGAUCCACCGAGCCCAUCGCCCCGUUCGAUCUGUCUCGGCUCGGGAACGAAGGUUGGUUUGAUGAUCGCGAAGACGGGGGAGUUAUGUGCGCUGCUUCUUCUAGCGGUGCCUCGUGGUUUGAGGGUGGGAGCUGACGGAACCAAUCAUAGGUACGAGGAGGGUGAUCGUGUGCCCCUCCCUGUAUGCCAACAAGGUCCGUCCCAUGGUGAUUUCCUUCCAUUCCAUUCCAUUCUUUUCUUGCCACAUUGUCGUUUUGGGCUUUAUUCUUAUUUAGGUUCGUAUUUGGUGUAGCAACAUGUGAGUAGC
Musa acuminata subsp. malaccensis (wild Malaysian banana) is the source of this 500-nucleotide non-coding RNA. Lineage: Eukaryota; Viridiplantae; Streptophyta; Magnoliopsida; Zingiberales; Musaceae. The record is from RefSeq and is a predicted model, not a curated record.